AAAAACAUGUCUCUUAGAAAUUAUUAAGAGUCAGGCCUGCCCAGUGAUUGCUUUUUAACGGCCGCGGUACCCUGACCGUGCAAAGGUAGCAUAAUCAUUUGCCUUUUAAUUGAAGGCUGGUAUGAAUGGUUUGACGAGAGUAAAGCUGUCUCACAUAUGCUUAAUAAAAAUUAAUUUAAAGGUGCAAAAGCCUUUAUAAAUCAAAAAGACGAGAAGACCCUGUUGAGCUUUAAUUUAAACCAAGUAUUAACUAUAUAUUUAUAUAAUUUAUAUACUUAGUAAAAAUUUUAAUUGGGGCGAUUAAGGAACACUCAAAAGCUUCCUGACUAUUUCUUCUACAAUAUUCUAUAAAUUAGAUCGAUCCAGCAAUGCUGAUCAACAAAAUGAGUUACCACAGGGAUAACAGCAUAAUUCUUUUUGAGAGCUCAUAUCGAAAAAAGAGAUUGUGACCUCGAUGUUGGACUAGGGUAACCGGAAGGUGCAGCCGCUUUCCCGCUUGGUCUGUUCGACCAAUAAUUCCCUACGUGAUCUGAGUUCAGACCGGA
RNAcentral lists this ribosomal RNA (545 nucleotides) under Neritina violacea. RNAcentral describes it as "partial 16S ribosomal RNA". It matches the Rfam family "Bacterial large subunit ribosomal RNA", at positions 1809 to 2620 of the family's 2925-position model. The record is from RNAcentral. Lineage: Eukaryota; Metazoa; Mollusca; Gastropoda; Cycloneritida; Neritidae.